CUGGGAAUUUUGCUUUUAACCCCUCUGUGUUCUUAGAUGCGUGUCUAGCCUUCAAUUGGUCAGCCUAAGUGCUAAUAUCUAACCCAAAUCACUGACUGGCUUGACACGCUUCCUUCUGAGAAAAUUCUUUUCCGUGUCAAACCACAACAGAUACCAAGCUAUUAUGGUGGAGCAAGAUGAUGUAGAGAUAGUAGUGGCUAACACUGUCAAUCCAUCCUCCUUCCUCAGUGGAAACCAAGGGGAGCCAGUGGAGCAUGACUGCCUGGGGACUAUCGAGGCCACCUAUUCCAGCCGCCCUGACUUGAAGGACACCCCUCUCAAGAAUGCAGAAAUCUGGUUCACUGAUGGAAGCAGUUAUGUCAUCAGUGGAAAACGCCACGCCGGGUACGCAGUUACUACCUGCAAGGAGGUAACAGAAUCUGGACCCCUGCCAACAAAUACCUCUGCACAAAAGGCUGAGAUAGUUGCUCUAACUCAGGCCUUGGAAUUGGCAAAAGGGAAAGAAAUGAACAUAUAUACGGACUCAAAGUAUGCAUUUGGAGUAGUGCAUGUUCACUGAGACAUUUGGAAAGAAAGAGGACUGCUGAACUCUCAAGGGAAAAACAUUAAACACACAUUAGAAAUACUGCAACUUCUAGAAGCAGUCCAGUUGCCAGAGAAGGUGGCAAUCAUGCACAUUAAGGCACAUCAGAAGAUAAACUCAGAAUUGGAAGAAGGGAAUGAGCUGGUGGAUAGGGAAGCAAAAGAAGCAGUGAAAAAUGAGGUAACAACUGAGGCUGUCCUGAUUCCAGACAGGCAAAUUUCCCUCAAAGCUUCUAGCAAUACCGUUUAUGCACAAGAGGAGGUGGGUGACCCUGUUGGAUCUGGUCUGGCGUCUAGGGAUGGUCCUGGUCCUUUUACUCUGGGGAUAUGGAUCCAGCCUUUUUCUUGGGUUCACAUCGCAGCGUGUGUGGUGAGUAACACCUGGAAAGGUCCUUCAAAUUUGGGGGUUAGUGGAGUGGUGGUGUUCCAGGAUUUUAUUAACGCCCAGUCCCCGGGACUGAUGUUGUGGGCAUUGGUAUCCAGAGGGGAGGUUUGGGGAAGAUACCCCUUCUUUCUGAGGCCUUCUAGGGUUUUUCUUAUGAUUUUAAAUAUUUUUAAGUUACUGCCUCCCUUUUUAAAUAAUCUGCAGUACUGAAAGGGGUGGUUAGAAAAGGGAGUCUGAACAUCAUUUUAUAAGGAGAAACCCCUAUGUCGGACCGAGGUCGAGGUCUGAUGCGCAAGAGAGCAAGAGGUAAACACUUGAGCUAAUUCAUUUUUUUGUCUCUUUAAUUAAUUUGGUUAUUACUUUUUUUAAGAGUUUUAUUCAUUCUUUCUACCUUUCCCGAGCUUUGAGGAUGCCAUGGGGUGUGCAAUCUCUACUUUAUCUCCAGGGCUUUUGUUACUUGAUGCAAAGUUUGAGCAACAAAAUGUUGACCUCAGUCCGAGUCAAAGUUAUUGACUAGCCUGUAUCGAGGUAUGAUUUUUUUCUAAGAUUAUUGUUGCGACUUCUUGCACAGUUUCCUUUUUGGCUGAGAAAGCCUCCACCCAGUGAGUGAGAUGAUCUACCAUCACUGGUAAAUGCUUGUACGUCUGCACAGAGGGCAUUUCAGUGAAAUCUACCUGUAUGUUCUGGAAAGGUCUUAAAGCAAGUUUUCUUCUCCCAUGUGCUUGUUUUCUCAUUACCUUUUGGUCAGUUUUCAGGCAAAUCGCACACCUUCUUGUGACUGCUUUUGCCAGGUCAUACGCUCCAAUAUAUAAAUUCUCCCGUAAAAAAAAAGUGGUUGCACAAACUUUGGAUUCCCCAGUGGGUCAAUUCAUGACUUGAACUACCUUUUAUCUCGUGGGAUAAUCUUUACCCUUCAUAGGACUUGCAAGUCUCUUCUUAAGAGAUUACUUUGGCCUUCCCUUUCAUUCCUAAAACCUCACAGACUUUCUUCCCAAUGUUGACUCUUACUGGUAACUUGUCCUGGACUUAUCUACCCUUGUGUUAACUAAGAACUCAAAAUCUUCUUAGUGAGGACUUACUUUAAAGUUUACCAAGGGCUCUUGUUGAUGGUUGAUUAUAUCUCUUUGCUUAUUGAACUCCCAACACCCCUAGUCAUCUCCCCUUGAAAUCUCUUCUAAGACUUUUUGUUCUUUUUGCAUUGCUUCAUUAAACUGAAACAUAAGACACAUCUCACGACAGUAAUAGCACCUCCUGUUGCUUUGUGAAGCUUCAGGUUUCUUAAAGUCAUUAAAGUUCUUAUUUGUUUCAUAUGAUGGUGCUGGUUGAUCUCUAUUUCUUUGGUAACAGCCCUGGUCUAUUCCAACUUGACUUAGACGGCAGUGCUGGUGACCUGCCUGCUCUUAUACUUUCUCAAGCAACUGCAACCAUAAGUCUAGCUUUAGUUUUGACUUUUUCUUCUUCUUUCUUUAAAUAUAAUCUUAGGGCUUCUAGGUGUUGGUUUAGCUGAUUAUGUAUCUACUGAUCUUGGGUUCUAUACUAUGGCCACUCUCCCUGUAAUUUUAACUUUGGCCAUACUUCAGUACUCUUGUCUAGACCCUUUGUGGUUUCCCAAGAAUCCCGUUGGUCUAACAAUUGCCCUAAGGGCCUGUUAGGAGGAAUUCUCUUUGCUUUCUCUUUUGAAGGAUCCACUCCUUUGCUUUAACUUAUUCCCAUUUCCAGGCCUCAAAAGGAAA
This is a non-coding RNA of Taeniopygia guttata (zebra finch), 2700 nucleotides long. Lineage: Eukaryota; Metazoa; Chordata; Aves; Passeriformes; Estrildidae. The record is from RefSeq and is a predicted model, not a curated record.